RNAcentral lists this ribosomal RNA (337 nucleotides) under uncultured bacterium. RNAcentral describes it as "bacterial SSU rRNA". It matches the Rfam family "Bacterial small subunit ribosomal RNA", at positions 335 to 666 of the family's 1533-position model. The record is from RNAcentral.
ACUCCUACGGGAGGCAGCAGUGGGGAAUAUUGCACAAUGGGGGAAACCCUGAUGCAGCCAUGCCGCGUGUGUGAAGAAGGCCUUCGGUUGUAAAGCACUUUCAGUAGGGAGGAAGGUAGUGUAGUUAACACCUGCACUAUUUGACGUUACCUACAGAAGAAGCACCGGCUAACUCCGUGCCAGCAGCCGCGGUAAUACGGAGGGGUGCGAGCGUUAAUCGGAAUUACUGGGCGUAAAGCGCAUGCAGGCGGCCUGUUAAGUCAGAUGUGAAAGCCCGGGGGCUAACUCGGAAUUGCAUUUGAAACUGGCAGGCUAGAGUCUGUAGAGGGGGUAGGAA